CCGCUUCUCCUACCUUCUACCGUCUCCAUUUUUCUUUUUGUUGCAGCCCUCUUCUUCUUCUUCGAUGGAUUACCGAGUUACUUGAAAUUUCAGCUACCUAACUAGCUAAAAUCAUAGUUUUUUUCCUGCAUGCAUGCGACACCAAGCCUUCUUCCAAUCGGUUUUCCAGCAGAACAAAUAUGGAAGAAAACUAAAACUCCAUUCCCCCUUUCUUUCCAAAAGG
Molecule: long non-coding RNA, 223 nt
Filed under: Gossypium barbadense (sea-island cotton)
Lineage: Eukaryota; Viridiplantae; Streptophyta; Magnoliopsida; Malvales; Malvaceae
Description: long non-coding RNA (GBAR_LNC003077)
Source: RNAcentral